AAUAAGUUAGUAUAUUUUAGUACAUUGGGUUCAUAUCCUAGAGGAGUUUUUCACUUAUUU
Molecule: transfer RNA, 60 nt
Filed under: Strongyloides stercoralis
Lineage: Eukaryota; Metazoa; Nematoda; Chromadorea; Rhabditida; Strongyloididae
Description: tRNA-Met
Source: RNAcentral